AUAAAGAUUCAGGGGUGCCCCUAUGGGUUUGUUACGAUAAACUCUGAGGCUGAGAAAAUACCCUUUGAACCUGAUCUGGGUAAUGCCAGCGUAGGGAGUUGAAACGGGAAUUUCUAA
This 117-nucleotide non-coding RNA is filed under the name Desulfobacteraceae bacterium. RNAcentral's name for it is "TPP sequence". It matches the Rfam family "TPP riboswitch aptamer (THI element)". From Rfam's summary of the family: Vitamin B(1) in its active form thiamin pyrophosphate (TPP) is an essential coenzyme that is synthesised by coupling of pyrimidine and thiazole moieties in bacteria. The previously detected thiamin-regulatory element, thi box was extended, resulting in a new, highly conserved RNA secondary structure, the THI element, which is widely distributed in eubacteria and also occurs in some archaea. Analysis of operon structures identified a large number of new candidate thiamin-regulated genes, mostly transporters, in various prokaryotic organisms. Lineage: Bacteria; Pseudomonadati; Thermodesulfobacteriota; Desulfobacteria; Desulfobacterales; Desulfobacteraceae. The record is from RNAcentral.